This 398-nucleotide ribosomal RNA is filed under the name uncultured bacterium. RNAcentral describes it as "bacterial SSU rRNA". It matches the Rfam family "Bacterial small subunit ribosomal RNA", at positions 358 to 773 of the family's 1533-position model. The record is from RNAcentral.
GGAAUCUUGGACAAUGGGGGCAACCCUGAUCCAGCCAUGCCGCGUGAGCGAUGAAGGCCCUAGGGUUGUAAAGCUCUUUCACCCGUGAAGAUAAUGACGGUAGCGGGAGAAGAAGCCCCGGCUAACUCCGUGCCAGCAGCCGCGGUAAUACGGAGGGGGCUAGCGUUGUUCGGAAUUACUGGGCGUAAAGCGCGCGUAGGCGGAUGUUCAAGUCGGGGGUGAAAUCCCGGGGCUCAACCCCGGAACUGCCUCCGAUACUGGACGUCUCGAGGACGGGAGAGGCGAGUGGAAUGCCGAGUGUAGAGGUGAAAUUCGUAGAUAUUCGGUGGAACACCAGUGGCGAAGGCGACUCGCUGGACUGAUACUGACGCUGAGGUGCGAAAGCGUGGGGAGCAAAC